This 87-nucleotide transfer RNA is filed under the name Cephalotrichum gorgonifer. Its description in RNAcentral is "transfer RNA-Ala(AGC)". It matches the Rfam family "tRNA". Rfam says of the family: Transfer RNA (tRNA) molecules are approximately 80 nucleotides in length. Their secondary structure includes four short double-helical elements and three loops (D, anti-codon, and T loops). Lineage: Eukaryota; Fungi; Ascomycota; Sordariomycetes; Microascales; Microascaceae. The record is from RNAcentral.
GGGCGCAUGGUUUAGUGGUAUAAUUCCUCUUUAGCAUCUAGAUGCCUAAGUUAGAGGCGGUCCCUGGUUCGAUUCCUGGUGUGUCCA